This 253-nucleotide ribosomal RNA is filed under the name uncultured bacterium. RNAcentral's name for it is "partial 16S ribosomal RNA". It matches the Rfam family "Bacterial small subunit ribosomal RNA", at positions 524 to 776 of the family's 1533-position model. The record is from RNAcentral.
UACGUAGGAUGCAAGCGUUGUCCGGAUUUAUUGGGUUUAAAGGGUGCGUAGGCGGCCUAUUAAGUUAGUGGUGAAAACGUUCGGCUUAACCGGAUACCCGCCAUUGAUACUGAUAGACUUGAGUGCGACAGAGGGUGUUGGAAUGUGUGGUGUAGCGGUGAAAUGCUUAGAUAUCACGCAGAUCACCAAUUGCGAAGGCAGAUGCCUAUGUCGUAACUGACGCUGAGGCUCUAAAGCGUGGGGAGCAAACAGG